UCUUGCAAACUAAAGAUGGCGACCGGCGCACGGGUGAGUAACACGUAUCCAACCUGCCGAUAACUCGGGGAUAGCCUUUCGAAAGAAAGAUUAAUAUCCGAUAGUAUAUUAAAACCGCAUGGUUUUACUAUUAAAGAAUUUCGGUUAUCGAUGGGGAUGCGUUCCAUUAGUUUGUUGGCGGGGUAACGGCCCACCAGCUCGAUGGAUAGGGGUUCUGAGAGGAAGGUCCCCCACAUUGGAACUGAGACACGGUCCAA
This 257-nucleotide ribosomal RNA is filed under the name uncultured bacterium. RNAcentral describes it as "partial 16S ribosomal RNA". It matches the Rfam family "Bacterial small subunit ribosomal RNA", at positions 73 to 334 of the family's 1533-position model. The record is from RNAcentral.